RNAcentral lists this long non-coding RNA (256 nucleotides) under Theobroma cacao (cacao). Its description in RNAcentral is "long non-coding RNA (TCAC_LNC001364)". Lineage: Eukaryota; Viridiplantae; Streptophyta; Magnoliopsida; Malvales; Malvaceae. The record is from RNAcentral.
UAUAGCCGAUAAUUAUUUUGUUAUAAGUUGUAUGAUACCAUAGUUGAGUUGCAAUCAGUCUUUGCACCUACAUCCAAUUUUUUUUUUGAAUAGCAAGGAAUAUAUUAAUAAAUGACGUUACCCAUAACAAAGUAAGCCCAUAAGAUACACAACAAAUCAAGAGUAUGGUUCAAAGAACACAGGUGCACAGAACAAAAAGCUAGUAGUAGUCAAACUCAAAACGACAACAAUCAAAUAACAACUCAAAAGAGGCUCU